UCCUUCUCUCUCUCCAGUAUAUUAUUAUCCUUCUCUCUCUCUACAGUAUUAUAUUAUUAUCCUUCUCUCUCUCUACAGUAUAUUAUUAUCCUUCUCUCUCUCUCUACAGUAUAUUAUUAUCCUUCUCUCUCUACAGUAUAUUAUUAUCCUUCUCUCUCUCUCUACAGUAUAUUAUUAUCCUUCUCUCUCUCUCUACAGUAUAUUAUUAUCCUUCUCUCUCUCUCUACAGUAUAUUAUUAUCCUUCUCUCUCUCUACAGUAUAUUAUUAUCCUUCUCUCUCUCUACAAUAUAUUAUUAUCCUUCUCUCUCUCUACAGUAUAUUAUUAUCCUU
RNAcentral lists this long non-coding RNA (331 nucleotides) under Salmo salar (Atlantic salmon). RNAcentral's name for it is "lncRNA (ENSSSAG00000122140.1)". The record is from RNAcentral. Lineage: Eukaryota; Metazoa; Chordata; Actinopteri; Salmoniformes; Salmonidae.